CCAGGGGCAAGGGGACAGUGGGGCCAGGAGAGCUCUACCUGAGGGCCUCACCAGGAUGGGAAGGGGGCAUAGCUAGCUCACUUGUAAAAAGUACCCGGGGUUCCCGCAAGCUCAUUCUCAGAGGUUAAUAGGUGUGAAAUCAGUAUUUAUCACAGUGGCCUUUUCCUUGUGUGAUUCUGUGAGUUCCCACCUCCUUUUGGAGCUCAGCAGGACACCUUCCCCUCCCCGGAGUCCAGAUCUGUGCGAGAGCCUUGGCUUGGUGUCAAGACUUCUGAUGGCAUAUCAGCCAACAUUUCUGUGAUUCUUGUCAAAAGCAGCAGGUGACUUUUCUCUGGCCACAGUGAUAGUCGAGGCCUCGCUCAAAUGGAAAAGAGACUGGAGCAUAUUGCAUUUGAGGGAUUUGAAGACAGAAAGACUACACCUUGGAUGCCUCUCCAUGAUGUGGGGCUUUGCUCUCAGACUGGUGAGAGGAAGAAGGCCACAUGGCCCAGAAGUAGCAUGGGCAGAAAUUCAGCUGAGGUCCAUCUGUACCCCAAGUCCAUGCUUGUCUUCACCAUGACAUUCCGUCUGGCUUUGAAGCUGCCUACACAUGGGUACUCAACAAGGCUUCACUAAUUGCUCUCCCAAUGGUCUCAGUUUGCAAUAUCAUCAAUAACGGGAACUAUACAACCUACUGCAUGGGAUUUCUAGGAGGAUUAAGAAAAAUUACCCACAUGGAAAUUUGGCUAAAUAAACAGGAUUGAACUGUAUCCUCUCCAAGGAUGUGUUGAAGUCCUAACCCCCAGGACCUUAGUAUAUGACCUUACUUGGAAGUAGGGGGUUUACAGAGAUAAUAAAAUUGAAAUGAG
This 848-nucleotide long non-coding RNA is filed under the name Mustela putorius furo (domestic ferret). Its description in RNAcentral is "lncRNA (ENSMPUG00000025616.1)". The record is from RNAcentral. Lineage: Eukaryota; Metazoa; Chordata; Mammalia; Carnivora; Mustelidae.